Rhododendron vialii is the source of this 1202-nucleotide long non-coding RNA. RefSeq lists it as uncharacterized. The transcript is spliced from 2 exons. The record is from RefSeq and is a predicted model, not a curated record. Lineage: Eukaryota; Viridiplantae; Streptophyta; Magnoliopsida; Ericales; Ericaceae.
GUCUCUCUCACUCUUCUCUGACUAUUGACAGCCUCAUUCGAAGGUGUGGAACCCUCUCUUAAGAACGGAACAUGAAAUUUACGAAUCUAUUUGCCUUUUUGAGUAGUGUUUAUCCAAUAUCUUACCAAGAUAUGCUCACAGAGCUACUAACCAUGAUUUGGCUGUUUUCUGUAGCUUUUUUUUUUUUUACAGUUAUUGUGAGAUCUCUUGCACUUUCAUAUUCGGGAUGGGUUUUUGUUUUGUGUACCAGUGCUUGUGUUAACGGAAACGGACAAAAUUUUGCCAUGUUAUUUGAGUUGUGGCAUUUAUGUUUUGAUGUAAUGAAGAGGCAUACUAUAGGGAUUGAGAUUUCUUAUCCCAACUCCCAGUGUCACAAUAUGCUUAUGUUUGCCAGUGUGUUACUAGUAUUUGUGAGUAUCGUCUCUUUCAUGGGCAGACUUUGCUAUGUAGAUGAAUAAUGAGGAUCUGUUUUAGUCUUUUUUGGCAUACUUCCUGUGCAUAGAGUUUGUGCCCUGUUUGGCACCUUUUAAGUGAAUUAAGUCAAUCAAAAAAUACCAACUAAGCUUAAUCCGAUUUUUUAAGGUGGUUCCAUAUGGGUAUUAUAUAGGUUGAGUUGUUUAGUUUCCUUCAAGUGGUGCGUGUGAAUUUCAAGUAUCUCAAAGGACUCGACAUUUUAAGUUUGCUUUUCAAGUACCUAAAAAGACUCGUCAUUUUAAAUUUGCUAAGUCGACUAAUAUCGGUAAUUCCUAUUUUUAUGCAGAAUGUACUAUAUUGACACAUUUUAGAUUCACAGUCUUUCCCUCUAGAGAUACCUUCAUAUCCCAAACUAUGGAAUGGAGCUUAUUCUAUUUUAGAAAGAUAUACAACAAUGGUUGAUACUGCUGAGGUUGUGAGGCAAGUGAUUUCCACCUUCUUUUGUGGGCUAAAUGGAUAUAUGAUCCCUAACUUGUGCUUUAUUGACUUUUUGUCUUCUAAGAUCAUACCUGAUCUUUCCUCCAAUAAAUUUUCUUUUCUGCAAUUAUGCUCAGAGAUGAGGGAUUAAUGUAUUGGCUAAACUUCAUGUCCCAGGACAUGCUCAAUCUGGGACUGUUGAGUCGUGUUUGCUUGUUGGAGCUCCAACAAUAAGUAAGGAAAUGCUUCUCAUAGUUAUAGAGUUCAUUACUUUUCCUAUUUUGUGUUUUGAAUAGUUUUGGAGCUUUUGG